UACGAAGGGUGCAAACGUUGCUCGGAAUUAUUGGGCGUAAAGCGCACGUAGGCGGAUUUCUAAGUCGGGGGUGAAAUCCUGGAGCUCAACUCCAGAACUGCCUUUGAUACUGAGGAUCUUGAGUUCGGGAGAGGUGAGUGGAACUGCGAGUGUAGAGGUGAAAUUCGUAGAUAUUCGCAAGAACACCAGUGGCGAAGGCGGCUCACUGGCCCGAUACUGACGCUGAGGCACGAAAGCGUGGGGAGCAAACAGG
RNAcentral lists this ribosomal RNA (253 nucleotides) under uncultured bacterium. Its description in RNAcentral is "partial 16S ribosomal RNA". It matches the Rfam family "Bacterial small subunit ribosomal RNA", at positions 524 to 776 of the family's 1533-position model. The record is from RNAcentral.